UAGCCUCGGGGCGCAGCAGUGAGGAAUAUUGGUCAAUGGUCGGGAGACUGAACCAGCCAAGCCGCGUGAGGGAUGAAGGUACAGAGUAUCGUAAACCUCUUUUGUCAGGGAACAAAGGCGGGGACGUGUCCCCGGAUGAGUGUAACUGAAGAAAAAGCAUCGGCUAACUCCGUGCCAGCAGGCGCGGGAAUACGGAGGAUGCGAGCGUUAUACGGAUUUAUUGGGUUUAAAGGGUGAGCAGGCGGUCUGUUAAGUCAGCGGUCAAAGCCCGGGGCUCAACCCCGGCCC
Molecule: ribosomal RNA, 288 nt
Filed under: uncultured bacterium
Lineage: Bacteria
Description: partial 16S ribosomal RNA
Rfam family: Bacterial small subunit ribosomal RNA
Source: RNAcentral